AGAGAGGUGGCCGAGUGGUCGAAGGCGCACGCUUGGAAAGCGUGUAUACGGCAACGUAUCGAGGGUUCGAAUCCCUUCCUCUCUACAA
Molecule: transfer RNA, 88 nt
Filed under: Polaribacter sp. Hel1_33_96
Lineage: Bacteria; Pseudomonadati; Bacteroidota; Flavobacteriia; Flavobacteriales; Flavobacteriaceae
Description: tRNA-Ser
Rfam family: tRNA
About the family: Transfer RNA (tRNA) molecules are approximately 80 nucleotides in length. Their secondary structure includes four short double-helical elements and three loops (D, anti-codon, and T loops).
Source: RNAcentral